Molecule: ribosomal RNA, 446 nt
Filed under: uncultured bacterium
Lineage: Bacteria
Description: partial 16S ribosomal RNA
Rfam family: Bacterial small subunit ribosomal RNA
Source: RNAcentral
CCUACGGGGGGCAGCAGUCGAGAAUCAUUUACAAUGGGGGAAACCCUGAUGGUGCGACGCCGCGUGGGGGAAUGAAGGUCUUCGGAUUGUAAACCCCUGUCAUGUGGGAGCAAAUUAAAAAGAUAGUACCACACGAGGAAGAGACGGCUAACUCUGUGCCAGCAGCCGCGGUAAUACAGAGGUCUCAAGCGUUGUUCGGAAUCACUGGGCGUAAAGCGUGCGUAGGCUGUUUCGUAAGUCGUGUGUGAAAGGCGCGGGCUCAACCCGCGGACGGCACAUGAUACUGCGAGACUAGAGUAAUGGAGGGGGAACCGGAAUUCUCGGUGUAGCAGUGAAAUGCGUAGAUAUCGAGAGGAACACUCGUGGCGAAGGCGGGUUCCUGGACAUUAACUGACGCUGAGGCACGAAGGCCAGGGGAGCGAAAGGGAUUAGAUACCCCAGUAGUC